RNAcentral lists this ribosomal RNA (492 nucleotides) under uncultured bacterium. RNAcentral's name for it is "partial 16S ribosomal RNA". It matches the Rfam family "Bacterial small subunit ribosomal RNA", at positions 29 to 507 of the family's 1533-position model. The record is from RNAcentral.
AGUGAACGCUGGCGGUAGGCCUAACACAUGCAAGUCGAACGGCAGCACAGUAAGAGCUUGCUCUUACGGGUGGCGAGUGGCGGACGGGUGAGGAAUACAUCGGAAUCUACUUUUUCGUGGGGGAUAACGUAGGGAAACUUACGCUAAUACCGCAUACGACCUACGGGUGAAAGCAGGGGAUCUUCGGACCUUGCGCGAUUGAAUGAGCCGAUGUCGGAUUAGCUAGUUGGCGGGGUAAAGGCCCACCAAGGCGACGAUCCGUAGCUGGUCUGAGAGGAUGAUCAGCCACACUGGAACUGAGACACGGUCCAGACUCCUACGGGAGGCAGCAGUGGGGAAUAUUGGACAAGGGGAGCAAGCCUGAUCCAGCCAUACCGCGUGGGGGAAGAAGGCCUUCGGGUUGUAAAGCCCUUUUGUUGGGAAAGAAAAGCAGCAGGUUAAUACCCCGCUGUUCUGACGGUACCCAAAGAAUAAGCACCGGCUAACUUCGUG